RNAcentral lists this ribosomal RNA (497 nucleotides) under uncultured bacterium. RNAcentral describes it as "partial 16S ribosomal RNA". It matches the Rfam family "Bacterial small subunit ribosomal RNA", at positions 28 to 507 of the family's 1533-position model. The record is from RNAcentral.
GAUGAACGCUGGCGGCGUGCCUAAUACAUGCAAGUCGAGCGAACAGACGAGGAGCUUGCUCCUCUGACGUUAGCGGCGGACGGGUGAGUAACACGUGGAUAACCUACCUAUAAGACUGGGAUAACUUCGGGAAACCGGAGCUAAUACCGGAUAAUAUAUUGAACCGCAUGGUUCAAUAGUUAAAGACGGUUUUGCUGUCACUUAUAGAUGGAUCCGCGCCGCAUUAGCUAGUUGGUAAGGUAACGGCUUACCAAGGCGACGAUGCGUAGCCGACCUGAGAGGGUGGUUGGCCACACUGGAAGUGAGACAGGGUACAGACUCCGAGGGGAGGAAGCAGUAGGGAAUCUUCCGCGAUGGGGGAAAGGCUGACGGAGCAACGCCGCGUGAGUGAUGAAGGUCUUCGGAUCGUAAAACUCUGUUAUUAGGGAAGAACAAAUGUGUAAGUAACUAUGCACGUAUUGACGGUACCUAAUCAGAAAGCCACGGCUAACUACGUG